This 513-nucleotide unclassified non-coding RNA is filed under the name Melitaea cinxia (Glanville fritillary). RNAcentral's name for it is "misc RNA ENSMCXG00005007550.1". Lineage: Eukaryota; Metazoa; Arthropoda; Insecta; Lepidoptera; Nymphalidae. The record is from RNAcentral.
UUCAAUCGUUUCAUAUCAAGAAGGGGUAAACCUCAAAACAUGUAUUCCGAUAAUGGUACAACCUUCGUAGGAGCAUAGAAUAGAGAAGCUGAGACAGCAUUUUUGGAGCCGCUAUACACAUGAAUAUAUACAUCAACUUCAACAGAAACAGAAAUGGCACGCAUCUUCUGGGAAACUGGAAAUAGGAGACAUAGUCCUGAUCAGGGAUGCCAGUGCACCACCAUUACUUUGGUCUAUGGGGAAAGUAAUAAAGCUGAUGAAGGGCAGUGACGGAGUUUGCAGAGUUGCCGAAGUACAAACAAAGAGAGGCCCUAUAAUUCGAAGUUUUAACAAUCUCUGUCCUCUUCCAGUUAAACAAAUUUGAAGAUCAUAAUCUUCAAGGCCCGGGAGUAUGUUCGCGACAUCGCGCACCGACACAGCGCACAGGGCGGUGGCUUGCUGCGUGUACGGCUGGUGUUGCGGCCCCCGCGCGCCCCUCCCCUUCUAGCGGUCACUUCUACUCUUAGCCGCACC